RNAcentral lists this non-coding RNA (119 nucleotides) under Gossypium arboreum. RNAcentral describes it as "Eukaryotic small subunit ribosomal RNA". It matches the Rfam family "Eukaryotic small subunit ribosomal RNA", at positions 1 to 118 of the family's 1831-position model. The record is from Rfam by way of RNAcentral. Lineage: Eukaryota; Viridiplantae; Streptophyta; Magnoliopsida; Malvales; Malvaceae.
UACCUGGUUGAUCUUGCCAGUAGUCAUAUGCUUGCCUCAAAGAUUAAGCCAUGCAUGUGUAAGUAUGAAUAAAUUCAGACUGUGAAACUGCGAAUGGCUCAUUAAAUCAGUUAUAGUUU